RNAcentral lists this ribosomal RNA (468 nucleotides) under uncultured bacterium. Its description in RNAcentral is "partial 16S ribosomal RNA". It matches the Rfam family "Bacterial small subunit ribosomal RNA", at positions 28 to 507 of the family's 1533-position model. The record is from RNAcentral.
GACGAACGCUGGCGGCGUGCUUAACACAUGCAAGUCGAACGGAAAGGCCCUGCUUUUGUGGGGUGCUCGAGUGGCGAACGGGUGAGUAACACGUGAGUAACCUGCCCUUGACUUUGGGAUAACUUCAGGAAACUGGGGCUAAUACCGGAUAGGAGCUCCUGCUGCAUGGUGGGGGUUGGAAAGUUUCGGCGGUUGGGGAUGGACUCGCGGCUUAUCAGCUUGUUGGUUGGGUAGUGGCUUACCAAGGCUUUGACGGGUAGCCGGCCUGAGAGGGUGACCGGCCACAUUGGGACUGAGAUACGGCCCAGACUCCUACGGGAGGCAGCAGUGGGGAAGAUUGCACAAUGGGCGGAAGCCUGAUGCAGCAACGCCGCGUGCGGGAUGACGGCCUUCGGGUUGUAAACCGCUUUCGCCUGUGACGAAGCGUGAGUGACGGUAAUGGGUAAAGAAGCACCGGCUAACUACGUG